RNAcentral lists this ribozyme (194 nucleotides) under Ctenophora environmental sample. RNAcentral's name for it is "partial Nuclear RNase P". It matches the Rfam family "Nuclear RNase P", at positions 57 to 293 of the family's 301-position model. Rfam says of the family: Ribonuclease P (RNase P) is a ubiquitous endoribonuclease, found in archaea, bacteria and eukarya as well as chloroplasts and mitochondria. Lineage: Eukaryota; Metazoa; Ctenophora. The record is from RNAcentral.
AUACACCUGGGAAGGUCCGAGGUGCCUACAUCCGAAAUGGAAAAAGACGAGAGUCUUGGGGUGCUCAAUAGAAAGCUACCCUUGCAGUUCUGGCCGAUGACAAGAGGUGAGGCUGUGAGUGGCUGGAAGAGUGCCUGGCAUGCUACUUAGUUCAAUACGCAAAAUUUAAUACAACUCAAUUCGGACUACUCUGU